Molecule: long non-coding RNA, 2561 nt
Organism: Triticum aestivum (bread wheat)
Lineage: Eukaryota; Viridiplantae; Streptophyta; Magnoliopsida; Poales; Poaceae
Exons: 3
Source: RefSeq, a predicted model, not a curated record
UCCUGACAUGUCCCACCGAGAAGUGGAGGUGGAAGGGUGGAAGACGGCAACCAUCGCGGCGAGGUCGACUCGUUCCAGCCCGCGCCGUACGGGCGGUCGCUGCCCAGCAUCUCCACCACCUCCCGAGGGGCCGCGGCGACGCCGCCGCGGGUUUCCUCGCCCGGCUCCGCAUCUAUCCUGAAUCGCGGUUUCGGCGGAGGGUGGGGGAUCGACCCAGGAUGAGGGAGUACCUCGGCAUUAACUCCGAAUCGGGGGAGGGAGAGAGGUUGGGUCGCCGGCGGGCGGCGGCUGCCUAAGCUAUGAUGCGUUCGAGGAGGGCAGCGGUGAGGAGAUGCCUAGGAUUGGGCGGGCGCUUGUGAAGAACAGGGAGGGAGACCAAGUAGAAGAUUUUCGACAAUUACUUGGGCAGCAGGAUGGCUCCUGCUCUUGUUAAAUGGGACAGCCAACUCACUUCUUAUAGCCUGACCAACAUGGAAAGAUUGAAAUGCCUCUGCAAAGUUUUUAACAGGAACAUAUUGGUAUGUCUCGUCACUGUGUAUCCAGUAUUGUCUCUGAUCUUUCCUUGAUGUAACCUACAUACCACAUUUCAAUUUGUCAGUCCACUUCAGCAUUGUAGCCAGUUAUGAUCCUAGCAUUAGAAAAUCUCUGACUUUGGGACAGAGAUUUGUACAAAUAUGUUUUUUCCUCAAGCAUACGAUGUACUCCCUCCGUCCCAUACUAGUUGUCAUUGAAACGGAUGUAACUAACACUGAAAUACAUCUUGAUACCAUUUCAAUGACAAUUAAUAUGGGACAGAGGUAGUACGAAAUACUACUUUGUAUGCUUUGGGACAGAGUAAAAUAUGUUGAUGCUCUGUCUGUUGCACUCGUCAACAAACUUGGAAUCAAAACAUUCCUAGAUAUUUCUAGUUUUGUAUUUCAAAGGUAUUUGAACAUUUCAGGGUUUUAUAGUAGCAAAUGCAUAAUUGCAGAAAGCUUGACAGAACAUAACAAUGAAACUCACCUCCUGCAAGAAGUCUGCCACGCCUUUUCUCUCAGGACAUCUGAAACCCGCUGAUUCAAAGAACUCGAGCACUUGUUCACGGGGGCCAUUGUAGACAACCUGACCGUCUGAGAGGAGAAUUAUAUCGUCAAACAGUUCAUAUGUCUCAGGUGCUGGUUGCAGCAAGGAAAUAACUGCUGUUCCACCAAGAGUGUGAAUAGUUUGCCGGAUGGAGUUCACAAUCUGGAAGGUAGUCGAACUGUCAAGUCCAGUUGAUAUCUCGUCCAUGAAAAGGGCUCGUCCUGGCGUGACGAGCAUCUCCGCUGCAGAUGGGAUGGGUGCGUUAGAUACUUGGAUCGUACAGGACACAUGGUAUUUUACUUACUCCCUUGAUGAAUCACCUGUGGUCACUCUCUUUUUUUGCCCUCCUGAUAUUCCUCUCAACAUGUUAUUUCCUACGAUUGUGUCGGCACACAUAUCCAAUCCCAGGAUCUUCAGUGGUUGAAAAGGAAAAAAAAAUAAAGAAUCAGUAACAUAAACACAUUUUCAUAUUCUAUCAGUCCCUUUGAACUUAGGUGGAGAGUUUGCGUAUAUGUUGCUAGUUUGCAUGCACCUUUAGUAUGUGAUUCGUGACCACCUCAGCUUUCUGUUCUCCUGUUGCAGCAGCCUAUAUAAACAAAAUGAGAGAUUAAUUAGACAUGUGUCAAAACUUUUUGAAACAUCCAGAUGGUCAAAACAGCUAGAGCUUAUAUAGCUCAAGGCUUAAUGAAUGACUUGUGAUUUAAGAACUGCACCGAACCUUCAAGUAGACGUCUAUUUCUGGAUCUGGUUUGAUAUUUGCUUCCUUUUCUCUCCUCGAUAGCUCCAUUAGAAGAUCUAGUCAUUUUGCAGAAAAUGUAAGUUUCUCAGCGUGUACUGCUACUUAUUUUUAAGUACUACUACUUGUUUUUCCCGUUCUUACCAAAGCGGUGACCACUUCCUUGACAUUUUGCAGAGAAAUUGACUGUCUCACGAACCGUCAGUUCGCCGAUAUGCAGGUCGUUUUGGCUCACAUAAGCUGCCGACCUCCGGGGCACAAACUCGUCCAUCGUGUGCCCGUUGUAUGUUAUUUUGCCUGACAUCUUUUGGGUUUCUUCAUAUAAGUAUAUAUACUUGGCAGGUGUAAUCAUGAUAUACCGAAGGGUGAAACGAUCAACCUACUUAUUUGUAAUGAGAAGAAGAAGAACAAAGAAUUAGUUACCUCGAGGCUUGAAGGGAGUGUUCCCGCCAACGCCAGGAGUAGCGUGGUUUUUCCGGCACCAGGAGGACCCAAAAGCAAGGUCAUCCUAGCAAGAGCAGGGAUGAGAGAAUUUGCCAUUCCCUGUUUGAAGUCGAUUAGGCCAUGUCAAUCGGCCGGUGUGCAUACCACAUAAUAGAGAAACGAAAAUCUAAGGUCAUGUGAGCAUCCUCGACGUCUACCGACUAGCUCCUGACAUUGUGUUGUUCCAGUGGUCGUUGGGUGUACUUGUAAUCAUCUUGAUAUUAAUACUUUUUGUGAGAAAAGAUAUUAACAUAUAUAUAUAUAUUUUUUUAUCAAAAAA